RNAcentral lists this ribosomal RNA (433 nucleotides) under uncultured bacterium. RNAcentral's name for it is "partial 16S ribosomal RNA". It matches the Rfam family "Bacterial small subunit ribosomal RNA", at positions 29 to 507 of the family's 1533-position model. The record is from RNAcentral.
AACGAACGCUGGCGGCAUGCCUAACACAUGCAAGUCGAACGAGACCUUCGUGUCUAGUGGCGCACGGGUGCGUAACGCGUGGGAACCUGCCCUUAGGUUCGGAAUAACUCCCCGAAAGGGGUGCUAAUACCGGAUAAUGUCUUCGGACCAAAGAUUUAUCGCCUUUGGAUGGGCCCGCGUUGGAUUAGCUAGUUGGUAGGGUAAAAGCCUACCAAGGCGACGAUCCAUAGCUGGUCUGAGAGGAUGAUCAGCCACACUGGGACUGAGACACGGCCCAGACUCCUACGGGAGGCAGCAGUGGGGAAUAUUGGAAAAUGGGCGAGAGCCUGAUCCAGCAAUGCCGCGUGAGUGAUGAAGGCCUUAGGGUUGUAAAGCUCUUUUACCCGGGAUGAUAAUGACAGUACCGGGAGAAUAAGCUCCGGCUAACUCCGUG